This 521-nucleotide ribosomal RNA is filed under the name uncultured Glomeromycotina. Its description in RNAcentral is "SSU rRNA". It matches the Rfam family "Eukaryotic small subunit ribosomal RNA", at positions 569 to 1092 of the family's 1831-position model. The record is from RNAcentral. Lineage: Eukaryota; Fungi; Glomeromycota.
AGCAGCCGCGGUAAUUCCAGCUCCAAUAGCGUAUAUUAAAGUUGUUGCAGUUAAAAAGCUCGUAGUUGAACUUCGGGGUCUACCCAUUGGUCAGGCUUAAUUGUCUGCACUGGUGAGAUGAAUCUCUACCUUCUGAGGAACUUUCAUGCCAUUUAUUUGGUGUGAUGGGAAAUCAGGACUGUUACUUUGAAAAAAUUAGAGUGUUUAAAGCAGGCUAUCGUCUGAAUACAUUAGCAUGGAAUAAUGAAAUAGGACGGACUGAUUCUAUUUCGUUGGUUUCUAGGAUCACCGUAAUGAUUAAUAGGGAUAGUUGGGGGCAUUAGUAUUCAAUUGUCAGAGGUGAAAUUCUUGGAUUUAUUGAAGACUAACUACUGCGAAAGCAUUUGCCAAGGAUGUUUUCAUUAAUCAAGAACGAAAGUUAGGGGAUCGAAGACGAUCAGAUACCGUCGUAGUCUUAACCAUAAACUAUGCCGACUAGGGAUCGGACGAAGUUAAAAAAAUGACGCGCUCGGCACCUCAUG